Long non-coding RNA from Micropterus dolomieu (smallmouth bass), 2144 nucleotides. RefSeq lists it as uncharacterized. NCBI's taxonomy places the organism in Eukaryota, Metazoa, Chordata, Actinopteri, Centrarchiformes, Centrarchidae. The transcript has 4 exons. The record is from RefSeq and is a predicted model, not a curated record.
GAUCCUGUCCCUACAACUGCUCCCUGCCGCGCAUCCUGAGUUUGAAAUGAAAAAUACGUCUUUAUUACUUGUCUCUCUUCUUGCUUUUCUGUCGCUGUCUGCUAAAGGUAAACGUUUGCAUUGCUGCCGAUCGCCAGGCAUCAGCAUAUUCCCUUCAUCCUUCAGCUUGGACUCCCCCUAUCUGAAUUCCUCUGCCUGCUAGGACUUUGUCACUUGAAUGUAAACAUACUUGCGGAAACAACUGAUGCUGUCAGUCUUCUUGGGAGGACAGAGCUGCCAAUGCUUUUAUCUACUUCCUCUUCCAUUGCCAGAGCUUUACCUUGGCACUAAUCCCUUAAACACAGAAUUUAUGAAAGAAGAAGCUCUUCCACCAAGACUACAUGACUGAGGAUCAGACCUGUGCUCUGUACAGUGCCCACCAGAGGCUGGAGCCUGCCACUGCAGGGAUAGGUCGUGGGGGCAGCAGUUCCAGCAGAGGACCCCAAACCUCCCUUUCCCAAGACACAUUAACCAGCUCUGAUUGGGAGAUCCCGAUCCGUUCCCAGGCCAGUGUGGAGAUAUCAUCUCUCCACCUAAUCCUGAGUCUUCUCUGAGGCCCCCUCCUGGCUGGAUGGGCCUGAAACACCUCCCUAGGGGGGCGUCCAGGGGACAUCCUUACCAGAUGCCCAAACCACCUCAACUGGCUCCUUCCGACACAAAGGAGCAGGAGCACCAGGAAACAAACAACACAGCCCUCAGGUUAGGGACACCCAAACCUGUCCACCAUGAUAAGUUGAUGGUUCCUGGAGAGGAAGUUUUGUUUUCCUGCUGGCAAAUUCCACUGUCAAACUUGCGCUAGCCGCAGCAGGAAGCUGUUUCUAGCUAAAAAAGAAGCUUUCAUAAACCCACUGCAUGCUAGCCACCUAAAACCAAACAGACCAACAAACUAGCUGCUGAAAAUAGUGGUGCUAAGAGUCACAUAAUUUCCUCAGGAGUUAGUAGAGACCAAAGCGCUAAUACGAGAGUGAAUACUGGACUUGUUUGUCAGAUGGACAAAAACCUUCCACAGGAAUGCUAAUAUUGCUUGCUGUUGUUUGCAAAUGUUGGCUAACAACUUUAUAAGAUGAUAAUAUAUCAGUGUUGUUGUCAGGUUGUUGCUGCCCCCAAGAGACCAAAAAAACAGCUGUUAAUGCAGCUUUAACGUUUUUGCCUUUCUAAAUGAACAAAGUUCAUUUUCUGUGUUUUUUCAUACACACACAACUGCAGUAACAAUUUCAUGUGGCCUCUGUAUAAUACAAGCUCACGCAGUGAACAUACAGCAUACACAACUUUUUCUUCAAAAUCAUAUUGUACAUGGUUUAAAGGACAACAAAAUAUUAUCUAACACACAGGCCAAGAUUUAAAGUGAUAACUCAUUGAUUGUUGGGUGUUUGUUUUUAGGCCUCUUGCUCUGUGUUCACACCACAGUCCUUAAAUCUACAUACUAUCUACUUUUUAGUCAACUGAGUCACUUAAUGAGAGGUUCUUUUUAGCAAUACAGCUACUGAUAAGCUCACUAUAAUCAGCAAUUAAGCAUUAGUAUAGGGAUGCUGCUUCAAGUUAGCUAAAUGCUUAUACAAAGAUUCUACAUCUAAGUAUUGUUAAAACACAGAAAACUAGACAGAAAACUUGGCAUACUGGCACCCGUUUCAGUGUAUGAACAAUACAAACCCCGUGCUUUUAACUGUCAAGCUGUUCCAAAAGUUAUUUCCAUAUGACGUGAAUGCAACAAUACACUCAUUCUUCUUAUGAACUAAAAAGCGUGGACAGGACAAUAAUGUUCCCAGAUGAUGAUGUGGGAAUACUGUAAGUGGGCCCUUGUUCUCACAGAGAGGGAAAAAGGUCACUACAGGAUUGUCACAGCCCAAGGUCAGAGUCUGUACUUAUCCAGAUUCAAGUCAAAUGCAUAAUUAAUGAUGUAGCUCUGAGGCACCACACUCAUUUUCAGCUAUGAAAACAUAAAGGGAGUGUUUUAUAUCCAAAUGAGAUAUUUCUCCGUUUGAAAAAUGUGACACCUGUUCUAAAACUGACUGCUGGCAUUUAAAGUAGAACUCCAAGUAGAAUCUUAUCUUUCUGAAUGUACAUAAAACAAAUUUUUAUUUUAACAUAUUAGUAUAUGACAGGCA